GCCUCGGUAGCUCAGUUGGUAGAGCGGCUGACUGUUAAUCAGCAGGCCGGAGGUUCGAGACCUCCCCGGGGCG
RNAcentral lists this transfer RNA (73 nucleotides) under Microcaldota archaeon. RNAcentral's name for it is "tRNA-Asn". It matches the Rfam family "tRNA". Rfam says of the family: Transfer RNA (tRNA) molecules are approximately 80 nucleotides in length. Their secondary structure includes four short double-helical elements and three loops (D, anti-codon, and T loops). The record is from RNAcentral. Lineage: Archaea; Nanobdellati; Microcaldota.